Molecule: ribosomal RNA, 1720 nt
Filed under: Escherichia coli
Lineage: Bacteria; Pseudomonadati; Pseudomonadota; Gammaproteobacteria; Enterobacterales; Enterobacteriaceae
Description: partial 23S ribosomal RNA
Rfam family: Bacterial large subunit ribosomal RNA
Source: RNAcentral
AUGCGUUGUUGGGUAGGGGAGCGUUCUGUAAGCCUGCGAAGGUGUGCUGUGAGGCAUGCUGGAGGUAUCAGAAGUGCGAAUGCUGACAUAAGUAACGAUAAAGCGGGUGAAAAGCCCGCUCGCCGGAAGACCAAGGGUUCCUGUCCAACGUUAAUCGGGGCAGGGUGAGUCGACCCCUAAGGCGAGGCCGAAAGGCGUAGUCGAUGGGAAACAGGUUAAUAUUCCUGUACUUGGUGUUACUGCGAAGGGGGGACGGAGAAGGCUAUGUUGGCCGGGCGACGGUUGUCCCGGUUUAAGCGUGUAGGCUGGUUUUCCAGGCAAAUCCGGAAAAUCAAGGCUGAGGCGUGAUGACGAGGCACUGCGGUGCUGAAGCAACAAAUGCCCUGCUUCCAGGAAAAGCCUCUAAGCAUCAGGUAACAUCAAAUCGUACCCCAAACCGACACAGGUGGUCAGGUAGAGAAUACCAAGGCGCUUGAGAGAACUCGGGUGAAGGAACUAGGCAAAAUGGUGCCGUAACUUCGGGAGAAGGCACGCUGAUAUGUAGGUGAAGUCCCUCGCGGAUGGAGCUGAAAUCAGUCGAAGAUACCAGCUGGCUGCAACUGUUUAUUAAAAACACAGCACUGUGCAAACACGAAAGUGGACGUAUACGGUGUGACGCCUGCCCGGUGCCGGAAGGUUAAUUGAUGGGGUUAGCGCAAGCGAAGCUCUUGAUCGAAGCCCCGGUAAACGGCGGCCGUAACUAUAACGGUCCUAAGGUAGCGAAAUUCCUUGUCGGGUAAGUUCCGACCUGCACGAAUGGCGUAAUGAUGGCCAGGCUGUCUCCACCCGAGACUCAGUGAAAUUGAACUCGCUGUGAAGAUGCAGUGUACCCGCGGCAAGACGGAAAGACCCCGUGAACCUUUACUAUAGCUUGACACUGAACAUUGAGCCUUGAUGUGUAGGAUAGGUGGGAGGCUUUGAAGUGUGGACGCCAGUCUGCAUGGAGCCGACCUUGAAAUACCACCCUUUAAUGUUUGAUGUUCUAACGUUGACCCGUAAUCCGGGUUGCGGACAGUGUCUGGUGGGUAGUUUGACUGGGGCGGUCUCCUCCUAAAGAGUAACGGAGGAGCACGAAGGUUGGCUAAUCCUGGUCGGACAUCAGGAGGUUAGUGCAAUGGCAUAAGCCAGCUUGACUGCGAGCGUGACGGCGCGAGCAGGUGCGAAAGCAGGUCAUAGUGAUCCGGUGGUUCUGAAUGGAAGGGCCAUCGCUCAACGGAUAAAAGGUACUCCGGGGAUAACAGGCUGAUACCGCCCAAGAGUUCAUAUCGACGGCGGUGUUUGGCACCUCGAUGUCGGCUCAUCACAUCCUGGGGCUGAAGUAGGUCCCAAGGGUAUGGCUGUUCGCCAUUUAAAGUGGUACGCGAGCUGGGUUUAGAACGUCGUGAGACAGUUCGGUCCCUAUCUGCCGUGGGCGCUGGAGAACUGAGGGGGGCUGCUCCUAGUACGAGAGGACCGGAGUGGACGCAUCACUGGUGUUCGGGUUGUCAUGCCAAUGGCACUGCCCGGUAGCUAAAUGCGGAAGAGAUAAGUGCUGAAAGCAUCUAAGCACGAAACUUGCCCCGAGAUGAGUUCUCCCUGACUCCUUGAGAGUCCUGAAGGAACGUUGAAGACGACGACGUUGAUAGGCCGGGUGUGUAAGCGCAGCGAUGCGUUGAGCUAACCGGUACUAAUGAACCGUGAG